GAUCACUUCCUGAGGGAAGUCAAGGCCAUACGGACAGCCGGGUCCACUGCCGA
This 53-nucleotide small RNA is filed under the name bovine gut metagenome. RNAcentral describes it as "Streptococcus sRNA SpF59 (ldcC RNA)". It matches the Rfam family "Streptococcus sRNA SpF59 (ldcC RNA)". RNAcentral also lists the same sequence under 1 other name. The record is from RNAcentral.